UUUAGCCUAGCUCACAUUAGGCUACAUGUUACAUAACUUAUACAUCACAAAUUUCUCAACAGAAUGUCAAAAACCCUCUCAGGUAUCAAAAGAAGAUUCUCCUACUAGGAGUUGCUUGUUGCUCCGUCGUGGUUGCAGGCGGUGGUGGUGCUGCUGCUCUUGUGCUCGUGCCUUGCGAUUUGGGAUCCAUCAACAAGGCCUCCUGAAAUGUUUGCGAGAACCCGGUUGCGAUUAUCGUCACAUGAAUCUCGCCAGUGUACCGAUCAUCAAUCACAGCACCAAAUAUUAUGUUUGCGGA
This 298-nucleotide unclassified non-coding RNA is filed under the name Hevea brasiliensis (rubber tree). Lineage: Eukaryota; Viridiplantae; Streptophyta; Magnoliopsida; Malpighiales; Euphorbiaceae. The record is from RNAcentral.